AACGAACGCUGGCGGCAGGCCUAACACAUGCAAGUCGAGCGAGGACUUCGGUUCUAGCGGCGGACGGGUGAGUAACGCGUGGGAAUGUGCCCUUCUCUACGGAAUAGCCCUGGGAAACUGGGAGUAAUACCGUAUACGCCCUUUUGGGGAAAGAUUUAUCGGAGAAGGAUCAGCCCGCGUUGGAUUAGGUAGUUGGUGGGGUAAUGGCCUACCAAGCCGACGAUCCAUAGCUGGUUUGAGAGGAUGAUCAGCCACACUGGGACUGAGACACGGCACAGACUCCUACGGGAGGCAGCAGUGGGGAAUCUUAGACAAUGGGGGCAACCCUGAUCUAGCCAUGCCGCGUGAGUGAUGAAGGCCUUAGGGUUGUAAAGCUCUUUCAGCUGGGAAGAUAAUGACGGUACCAGCAGAAGAAGCCCCGGCUAACUCCGUG
Molecule: ribosomal RNA, 433 nt
Filed under: uncultured bacterium
Lineage: Bacteria
Description: partial 16S ribosomal RNA
Rfam family: Bacterial small subunit ribosomal RNA
Source: RNAcentral